GGAAGGUGCAGGGUGGAGUUUGUUUUUUGUCAAAAUGAGAUCUGCUGAGUUGACUGUUUACACUUAUGUAUCUGAAAUUCCAAAAUGUUUUUGAGAGGCAAACUAUUAAUGACUGAAUCCUUUUCAGUUAUACUAGACUGUUUUCCUCCCCCUUCCCCCCUUUUCUUCUAGGUUGAUUUAUAUCAGUUACAAGUAAACACACUUCGAAGGUACAAAAGACACUUCAAGCUACAGACCAGACCAGGACUUAACAAAGCACAGCUUGUUGAAAUAAUUGGCUGCCAUUUUAGGACAAUUCCAGUGAAUGAAAAGGACACCUUAACAUAUUUCAUCUACUCAGUGAAGAAUGACAAGAACAAACCAGAUCUAAAGAUGGAUAGUGGGGUUCACUAGGUGGACAAAGUUGGGACUGAGACUCAGGCCGCAAAUCAAAAGACUGAGGGUUUUUGUUGAUAUGCAAAAGCUUUCUUUGUAACUUUUUCUCCCCAGAGAGUUUGUCUCUGUUUUAUUUUUCAUAACCUUGCUGAUUUGUUUGAAAACCAUCUCUUAUGAAACAAAUUUCCUCAGCAAAAGUAUUUUAAAUAAAUAUCACUGAUACUGUUGCUUGAGUGGGUGUGUCUAACUUUACCUAAUAGUUAAGCUUUCACUAAUUAUGUAAUGGUAUUAAAAAUAUUUUUCAAUUAAAGUGUGACAAGGUUAUAUUUAUGAAUGUACUUCUUAUGAUGCAAUGCCUUAAAAGAAAAAAAAAAAAAAGGCUGUAGCAGACUUGGCAGUAGAUUCUUCUUGCUAAGGUAAAAGGCUUUAAAUGACAGUUCCAGUUGUUAGCUGGAUAGAAAUGGCUGAAUAACAUUCUUUUUCCUCUUUGGAAACAGGAAUUGAUGACUCUUUUGAUUUGUUUAUCCUUCUUGUCAUUGCUGGGAUAUGUGCUUCUAAGCACUGAGGCCUUCCUGCUCCUAUAUUAAAAUGUAAAAAAAACCAAAAUGCAGCUCUCGAAUUUCAAAGCUAUAAGUACAGAUGAAAGACUGGUGCAGCUUACUGUGCGGAGAAAUCCUUCCACUUGUUAAGAAAUCUUUUAGCUGCUGACUAUUCCAUUCAUCUACAUAGUCUGCUGUGAAGAACUUACUUGGAAAAUGGAAGACGGAGUCUAUGCUGUGUCAGUAUGGUAUCUUCUAAUAGGCAUACUAUUUCUUUUUCAUGGUGUGCAUUAGCUUGUUCAAAAAACCAAAACACAACACCAAAACCAACCCAAAACUUAUGGUAACUUAUAAGAAAAAUAUCCAGUAAUAUUUUCCUUUUAAUUGAAUAUCUUAGUAAAGUCUGAUUUUGAAGGCUAUAUUAAGAAUAACUUCUUGUAGUGUUGUUUAACUAAGUUUAAAUAUGUGGUGUAUGGAAUAGGACUUAUUUCUGCUUUAAGCUGUGCACAUGGGUUGAAGAAAAGGCAGAGGGAAAAGAGUUCAUCUUAAGGCAGAGGAGGACACAGCUUCUGCUUUUUCAGUUAGUAGUUGUUGCAACUUUUAGAUCAGCUGUUUAAAAGCUUUUUCUUAAUUUGGGAAAACCAGGAAAGCAG
Long non-coding RNA from Athene cunicularia (burrowing owl), 1567 nucleotides. RefSeq lists it as uncharacterized. NCBI's taxonomy places the organism in Eukaryota, Metazoa, Chordata, Aves, Strigiformes, Strigidae. The record is from RefSeq and is a predicted model, not a curated record. The transcript is spliced from 2 exons.